RNAcentral lists this transfer RNA (65 nucleotides) under Koreoleptoxis globus ovalis. RNAcentral describes it as "tRNA-His". It matches the Rfam family "tRNA". Rfam says of the family: Transfer RNA (tRNA) molecules are approximately 80 nucleotides in length. Their secondary structure includes four short double-helical elements and three loops (D, anti-codon, and T loops). The record is from RNAcentral. Lineage: Eukaryota; Metazoa; Mollusca; Gastropoda; Pleuroceridae.
GUUAAGUUAGUUUAACCUAAAACAUUAGCCUGUGGCGCUAAAAAUAAAAACAAUUUUACUUAACC